UCAGACGAUGCGUCAUGCAUAUCAAUAAGCGGAGGAAAAGAAACUAACAAGGAUUCCCCUAGUAACGGCGAGUGAAGCGGGAAGAGCUCAAAUUUGAAAUCUUAAAGGGUUUCCCUUUACGAAUUGUAGUUUAAAGAAGUGUUUUCUGUUGAGGUUUUGGUAAAAGUUCUUUGGAAUAGGACAUCAUAGAGGGUGAGAAUCCCGUAUUUGACCUUUACUUUCAACUUUGUGAUACACUUUCAAAGAGUCGGAUUGUUUGGGAAUGCAGUCCAAAAUGGGUGGUAAAUUCCAUCUAAAGCUAAAUAUUGGCGAGAGACCGAUAGCGAACAAGUACCGUGAGGGAAAGAUGAAAAGAACUUUGAAAAGAGAGUUAAACAGUACGUGAAAUUGUCAAAGGGAAGCGUUUGACACCAGUGUUGUUUUUCUGAAAAUCAAUUAAAGAACUGUUUAUGCUAAGCUGUUUAGACUUUAUCAGCUAUCUGUUUAGUUUUGAGCUUUUCUUUAAUGCACUUUUCAGUUAACAAGUCAACAUCAAUUUCUUUUGCUGUAAAAAAGCUUGAGGAAGGUGGCUUGAGAUUCGUCCUUAAGUGUUUAUAGCCUCUUGCCUAUGCAGUCGGAGAGAUUGAGGUCUGCAGCGUAGAUCCUUCGGGGCUAAAUGCAUUUGUGCUAAGUUAUAGCAUUUCAUAGACAACUUGUUGACUAUGAUUUGUCUUGUAGCUUACUCGCUUAUGUUAUUUUACCUACGCUUAGGAUGUUGAAUCUGUGCGAGACUAC
Molecule: ribosomal RNA, 774 nt
Filed under: uncultured Neocallimastigales
Lineage: Eukaryota; Fungi; Neocallimastigomycota; Neocallimastigomycetes; Neocallimastigales
Description: partial large subunit ribosomal RNA
Rfam family: Eukaryotic large subunit ribosomal RNA
Source: RNAcentral